UGUGAAAGGGUCUUGGUCGAUGGAGGAGUGGGGUGGGGGUUUGAUCUUGUUUAAGUAAAAACAGUGUCUUCUGGAGAGAUUCCCCCACACCAUGCUGUUAUCUUAUAGGAAGGUGAUUUAGGAGGCACCAGUCGGCCAGCCUUUUCUUCUAUUGAAAUGCAGUGUGGAAGUCAAGGGGGAGGCAAUCCUAGAUGCCUGGGUCUCCUUCCUCACCCCCCUCCCCCAACACUUUGAGCCCCUCACCACUCUAUAAUAUUAGUGAGAGGUCUCACUUUCAUUCUCAUUUUCCAGAUCCUCUGAAGAAACUGAUUGAUAAUGACAGAUAUAAAACAUUUGUGAUGUGGUUCUUCUGGUCUAUUAUAGCAGUAAAGGUUUUCUUAGCCAUUUAGAGAAACAAGGGGGGAAAACAGGGCAGUAGUAAACACCCACUAUUGUUAUUACGUCUGUGAUGAAGGUUUUUAAUCCUCCCAAGGCUGAGGACCAACCUUUAAAUGAGAACUUAGAUUGAAUUUAUGCCAGACCUGCACAGGCACGUGUGCUAGUUUGGUUAUAUUCUUAGCUGCAUCACCCUGGUCGUUUAUGUGCAGGCAGCAGUUGGUUAGUUUGAAUUUUUUACGGACUCCUCCUUCAGCUGCCAGCAAAUAAUCUAAGGCCAACCGGUUCUGAUAAAUGGCAUUUCUCACUUGAGUUUCUUGUCUGGCCAAAAUGGACAGAGCUUUGCCCGUUUUAUUAAUGAGUAUUUCAAAGGCAGCCUGCAACUGGAUGAUCUGAUUUAGCAUAUAGAUAUGAGUCCGGUGUCCCUAUGAGCCAUUCUCUGUCCCUGUGGCCAGCCUAUAGGACUCAAUAAUUCUUUCCAGUGGCCACUUAUUAUUUUCCCAUUUACCUAUUUUCAGACUUCUUUUCACUCCCUGGGCAGAGUAGACUGGAUGUCCUAACAGCUCACCUGUCUUAGCAUAUAAUAGGAAAAAAGAAGGCUUAAUGAUGCCUAUGACAUAGCUACCUGUCCAUAUUUCAGGCAGCUGUACCUAUGCUCUAUGUCCUGAUAUCCAGUACAACCCAGGAGGGGCUGUCUAGUCUCUCCAGGACCCAGGGUGAUUGCAAGCAUCCUGUAAUUUUGGAAAUUUUAGGAGGGGGUUCUUUUCUGUAUGGAUUGAGCUCCACCAGGGUACAGUCACUGCCCUAUGCAGCUAAGCUUUCCAACUGGAACAGUGAAGUCUGUUCCUUCUCUGGCCAAACAAUAUUGUCCGAUAAUUGAAACCUUUAAAACCCAGAAACUGCUGGUUUGAACCCUUUGAACUCAGGUCAGGUCAGGGACAGGGUCAGAGGGUAAUAACUCACGGGCUUCCCAUGGCCACCUAUCACCCAGAGCCGUCCCUCCACAUACAUAAAAAGAAGUAACAUUGAGGAAAUGAGCCACAUUUUCAGAAAAUUGGAGGAACAAGUUCUUUGUCUUUUUUGGAAGUUCUGGCAUUGGCUUAUUUAAUAUACCACAAAAGUGCUGGUACACUGGCCAGGCUGAGCAUUUUUUUAUUUUUCCCUGAAUUUGGAUACUGACUCCGGGGUCAAGCCCUUUUCCAUCAGUUCCUAGCAUUACACUCUCCCGUUUUUCCCAUUUA
Sapajus apella (tufted capuchin) is the source of this 1616-nucleotide long non-coding RNA. RefSeq lists it as uncharacterized. The record is from RefSeq and is a predicted model, not a curated record. NCBI's taxonomy places the organism in Eukaryota, Metazoa, Chordata, Mammalia, Primates, Cebidae. The transcript is spliced from 4 exons.